UACGUAGGGGGCAAGCGUUGUCCGGAAUCAUUGGGCGUAAAGCGCGUGUAGGCGGCCAGAUAGGUCUGCUGUGAAAACUCGAGGCUCAACCUCGAGCUGUCGGCGGAAACCAUCCGGCUAGAGUCCGGAAGAGGAGAGUGGAAUUCCCGGUGUAGCGGUGAAAUGCGCAGAUAUCGGGAAGAACACCUGUGGCGAAGGCGGCUCUCUGGGACGGUACUGACGCUGAGACGCGAAAGCGUGGGGAGCAAACAGG
Molecule: ribosomal RNA, 253 nt
Filed under: uncultured bacterium
Lineage: Bacteria
Description: partial 16S ribosomal RNA
Rfam family: Bacterial small subunit ribosomal RNA
Source: RNAcentral